This 77-nucleotide ribozyme is filed under the name Crocodylus porosus (Australian saltwater crocodile). RNAcentral describes it as "Mammalian CPEB3 ribozyme (ENSCPRG00005011326.1)". It matches the Rfam family "Mammalian CPEB3 ribozyme". From Rfam's summary of the family: The mammalian CPEB3 ribozyme is a self cleaving RNA located in the second intron of the CPEB3 gene which belongs to a family of genes regulating messenger RNA polyadenylation. The record is from RNAcentral. Lineage: Eukaryota; Metazoa; Chordata; Crocodylia; Crocodylidae.
GCUUGCAAGUUUGAGGCCAUAGCAGAAGCACUCAUGGUGCAGCCCUGUCAGAUUCUAGUGAAUCUGUGAAUUCAGCU